CAUUGUGCAAUUAAAAUUUAAAUACUUUUUUUAUAUCAAUAAAAUUUUAUCUUUUGUUUAGAAUUCGACAUUACUUUUGUUCAAAAUUACAUUACGUCUAUGAUGAUCCUAUCCUUUUAACGUACCUUACAUAUUUUACAUUUUAUAUUUUUUUCUCUUUCAUUGUGUUUGAUCUUUCAUUUGCAUUAUUCCUUCCUUUUUAAAUUGCGUAGAUCCAGACGGUAAUCAAAAGAAGAAACGUUCAUCGUCUGCUACUCUUAGCUUAUUACUCUGGCCUUGAGAAUAAAACGCACUGAUUUUUCGGGACAAAAGCGAAGCGAGUACUUUGUGUAGGGUUAAUAUCCCAGGGAGUAACUCUACCGUAUAAUAAUCGUCAUGGUCGCAAAUUAAUGAAAGAGACGCUGCCGAUUGAUCUUCGCCAGAAUAGUAGGCUCUCUCGAUAUCGCUGCGUGCACAUUAAAGUCUACGGAUCUACUAAUUUUGCCCCCGAAAAAAAAAAAACAGCGGCGAAUGAUUAUCGGAAAUGUGUAUGAAUAUGAAUUGAAUACAGUUUCAUCUUAUAUAUUCUUGAGCAAAAAAUCUUUCUUACUUCUUAAAAAAAUGUCAAUCAUACGAUUAAUCACGUGAUCGGUUAGAAAACAGACAUUUUAUCGAACCUGCAACAACGUGAAAAGUGCACCAAUCCAAAACGACUCAUCCUGACGUUAAAAAAAAAGUAUAUUAACACGGUAAAAUCAUUGCAGUAACGUGUUGUGAAAUCUUUCCAUUUUCUCCCAGUUAAAUCAUCCGAUUUGGUAAUCACGUAGCCAAGAAAAGUAAAAGUCCACAAAGUAUCUAAAAAGACCUUUGAAAGACGUUUGCAGAUUAGGACGUCUCUUUGACAUCUCUGAAUCCACCCCCCCCCCCCUCGUGUCUUACGAACGGAACGGCAAAGAGCCUCUGCUCGCUCGAAUGACAAACCAUCGUCGUUUAUCUUUCACCGCUUUCGUCGCUUCGUCUCGACAGCACGUCGGAAAGGUCUGAAGAAAAUUCCCUGAAACUCCACGGACAAAUAACAUUGCGUCGACGGCGUGCUCGUUAAACGCCCGUUUUUCAAGCCGCGAGACGGACGGACGGCUUCGACCGCCACCGCGCACUACGACCGCUCGACCGGUGAAGCGGGUUUUAAUAUGCCGACUGUACUUUCGCUAAAGUUCGCUUACGCUGCGCAACAAAGGGCUGAAAAUCCAUAUCCGUUUUCUUCCCUCUCGCCAGGUCGUCGCGCCGACAAUCCGGAAAACGGCUCCCGCCGAGCCGACUCGUCGUCUCGUUUCGCGCGAUUCAUAGUCCAAGAUUAUAAUUGGCCGUAAAAAAAGUCCGAGGAGAUCUUCACGAUGGCGUGAAAAAAAAAAGUACUCGUUAUAUUUUAUAUUGAACCAUUUUGCAUGGAUCGAUUUUCAUCACGGUCACUAUUGCUAAGACAACGAUUCCAACGUGAGAUUUCCAAUAAAGAUCUAUUUAUUUUUUUUCGAGCAAGGUAUUGAUAUCAAUUCGUCGUGCAUCAUUAAAUCAUUGGUUUUAGGCUUUCUGAUCAAAUAUGAGUGAAAUCCGAUUAAUCAGACUGGCGAGAGAUAACCCCCCCCCAAAAAAACAAAAAAUAAAGGACAUAACAAUUGGAUAACGGCGGGUAUUAUUUAGAUUUGUUCUGGAAAAUGUAUCGAUAUUAUGUAAGGUUUCAUCGUUUUUUCAUCUACCAACCAGCGAAAUAUAAGCUAACUUGUGCAAGAGGGCUUUUCUCUCGUCGUCGUAUUAUUCCGCGUUCGAGAGUUUUCCCUGAAAUGUUUCACGGUAUUCAUCGUGAGUGCGGUUCGAGCACUUGGACGUUUGUCGCAGGCGCGCGCGAGCAUAUUCCUCCCCUCGGGAUCGAAAUCUUUUCCGAAGAUUGGCCGUACGAUGCGCGCGUCCUUAAACGAGGAGGCUCCUCGAGGUAUCUUUCGGACGUAUACGCAGGCGAGAGAAUCAAUACUUUCCUUCAACUCCGCGGAACCGGAGUAAACAGCGGGGUAUACGUGCGGAGAUGGCAUACGUGUGCGCGAGAGCUUUGCGCUGGCACGCGGCUUUAAAAACGAAGAGGACAGUCUCCGGAAACGUGUCGCGAAUAGUAAAGCUCUCUGUCGGAGAUAGCUCGACGGAGGCGAAAAUUUGAAUGCGAUAGCCUCGAGUGGCGUUGUAUCCCUCAAGUGUACUCGGCAAACUUUUCGUGAGCGGCGCGGCGGCUUCCUUUCGUGUUGGCAAAUAUGAGACGUCACUGUUGCACCUUCGACGUUCCCCCGAUUGUUCCAUGGUACUCCACCGCGCGCGCGCGCGUUUAGACGUUUCUCUUCUUUCGCGCACCGCGGAGACAAGUCGAGAGUUUUACGGUGCUCGAGAGCUCGAUCCGCUGCGGCUUCUGCUCCCUGUUUUUCGUGUCGUGGAGGUCGAACGAUCGACCGACCACCGGUGGUCUCCGCGAGGUAUCGGUAAGGUAAGGCGACCGUGUAAUCUAUAGCGGCCAGAUGUAUCGAUUAUCUUGUGACCCGAUUCCGACUGGAUAUCGAGUUCCUGGGUUGGCAUAUAGAAUUGCCGCGUCCCACCGUUGCACGCACUCAUACGCGUGCGCCGGCAGCUAUGGACUGUUCCACGUGCAAGGGUGGAGGAGAUCCUGGAAAGUCGAGCUGUUCCUCUCGUCCGCGCGCGGAUGUACUUACGGAUGUACGCGUCCGGCAGGAUCGCUCGCAUUAGGGAAGACGUUUCGUUGCAACAAGUAAUCCGAUUAAAAUGCUCUGUUGUGCUGUUCGAAAUCGUUUCCUUCGAAAUGUCAAAUUCAACACCAUCUUACGAUUUAUAAAUUCUGUGUAUUGACUUGAAGUGCUGCUAUUAUGCUUUAAAGCCAGUUGGGUGCACCUGAACGAAAGUUUCACACGGUUCUAGCGGUACCAAUCGCGUUCUUUUAAUAUUUCAUCAAAUUCUAAAUCUUCUCUCGCGCGCGCUAAAGACUUUCUGUCGCGCUUACAUGUUUUAUGUAUUUUAUCACGGAGCUACGUUCGCGUGUGUACUUUUCUUUUACCUCUCUCUACUGUAUUUAUACAAUUUAGAUAAAUAAAUACAAAAAGAUGUGUAGAAUAAAAGAAUUGUUAAUCCCAAUAAAUCUCAAUAAAACGAAUUCUUUUCUA
Molecule: long non-coding RNA, 3191 nt
Filed under: Monomorium pharaonis (pharaoh ant)
Lineage: Eukaryota; Metazoa; Arthropoda; Insecta; Hymenoptera; Formicidae
Description: uncharacterized LOC118647431
Source: RNAcentral